Molecule: non-coding RNA, 242 nt
Organism: Pelobates cultripes (western spadefoot toad)
Lineage: Eukaryota; Metazoa; Chordata; Amphibia; Anura; Pelobatidae
Source: the annotation of a GenBank genome assembly
GGGGCAUUCGGGCCUACCAAAUAACGCUGAAGGUUCUGUCGCGUACUCUCACAUGAGGAAGGUGUUUCACUUGUGCGUGUAGCUGGCACAGAUCGACCAGGUCCUCUCCUUGCAACAGGAGCUCCACCAACACCAGCAGCACCACGACCAGGACCACGUCCCUUAUUUGACGCUCCUCAUUCUUUGCGUUCGCCCACCAAACUAACAGAGGGUUUAUGUCAGGCGACAAUGUAACCGCCAAU